This 466-nucleotide ribosomal RNA is filed under the name uncultured bacterium. RNAcentral describes it as "bacterial SSU rRNA". It matches the Rfam family "Bacterial small subunit ribosomal RNA", at positions 329 to 792 of the family's 1533-position model. The record is from RNAcentral.
GUCCAGACUCCUACGGGAGGCAGCAGUGAGGAACAUUGGUCAAUGGACGAGAGUCUGAACCAGCCAAGUAGCGUGAAGGAUGACUGCCCUAUGGGUUGUAAACUUCUUUUAUAAAGGAAUAAAACGAGGCACGUGUGCCUUUUUGCAUGUACUUUAUGAAUAAGCAUCGGCUAACUCCGUGCCAGCAGCCGCGGUAAUACGGAGGAUGCGAGCGUUAUCCGGAUUUAUUGGGUUUAAAGGGUGCGUAGGUGGUUAAUUAAGUCAGCGGUGAAAGUUUGUGGCUCAACCAUAAAAUUGCCGUUGAAACUGGUUGACUUGAGUAUAUUUGAGGUAGGCGGAAUGCGUGGUGUAGCGGUGAAAUGCAUAGAUAUCACGCAGAACUCCGAUUGCGAAGGCAGCUUACUAAACUAUAACUGACACUGAAGCACGAAAGCGUGGGGAUCAAACAGGAUUAGAUACCCCAGUA